GCUUUCAUAGCUCAGUUGGUUAGAGCACCCGUUUAGUAAGCGGGAGGUCUUGAGUUCAAAUCCCAAUGAAAGCA
Molecule: transfer RNA, 74 nt
Filed under: Zingiber officinale
Lineage: Eukaryota; Viridiplantae; Streptophyta; Magnoliopsida; Zingiberales; Zingiberaceae
Rfam family: tRNA
About the family: Transfer RNA (tRNA) molecules are approximately 80 nucleotides in length. Their secondary structure includes four short double-helical elements and three loops (D, anti-codon, and T loops). Further hydrogen bonds mediate the characteristic L-shaped molecular structure. tRNAs have two regions of fundamental functional importance: the anti-codon, which is responsible for specific mRNA codon recognition, and the 3' end, to which the tRNAs corresponding amino acid is attached (by aminoacyl-tRNA synthetases). tRNAs cope with the degeneracy of the genetic code in two manners: having more than one tRNA (with a specific anti-codon) for a particular amino acid; and 'wobble' base-pairing, i.e. permitting non-standard base-pairing at the 3rd anti-codon position.
Source: Rfam by way of RNAcentral